GACGAACGCUGGCGGCGUGCCUAAUACAUGCAAGUAGAACGCACAGGAUGCACCGUAGUUUACUACACCGUAUUCUGUGAGUUGCGAACGGGUGAGUAACGCGUAGGUAACCUGCCUGGUAGCGGGGGAUAACUAUUGGAAACGAUAGCUAAUACCGCAUAAGAACAUUUACUGCAUGGUAGAUGUUUAAAAGGUGCAAAUGCAUCACUACCAGAUGGACCUGCGUUGUAUUAGCUAGUAGGUGAGGUAACGGCUCACCUAGGCGACGAUACAUAGCCGACCUGAGAGGGUGAUCGGCCACACUGGGACUGAGACAUGGCCCAGACUCCUACGGGAGGCAGCAGUAGGGAAUCUUCGGCAAUGGGGGGAACCCUGACCGAGCAACGCCGCGUGAGUGAAGAAGGUUUUCGGAUCGUAAAGCUCUGUUGUUAAGGAAGAACGAGUGUGAGAAUGGAAAGUUCAUACUGGGACG
Molecule: ribosomal RNA, 472 nt
Filed under: Streptococcus intermedius
Lineage: Bacteria; Bacillati; Bacillota; Bacilli; Lactobacillales; Streptococcaceae
Description: bacterial SSU rRNA
Rfam family: Bacterial small subunit ribosomal RNA
Source: RNAcentral